UCAGCUCAGGCUGCUGUGACAAAGCACUGCAGGCCAUGGUUUCCCAUCAAAAGCCUGUUCUCUCUCAGUUCUAAAGAGGCAGCCCAGGAUGUGUUGAGUUACAUCGACUGCACAGCCCAUGUCUCUUCCACUUGGCUGUUCAGCGUGAUCUCCCCUCUCCUCGACACGGCCAGCCCACACCGGCCUCCGUGGCCGCCCUCCCCAUGGCAGGCAGGGAUGGAGGCAGGCUGAGGCACCUGUCCUCUGAGGCCUGCGGAGGCUCUCUCUCCUGUGCUUCUCUGAGGAUGUCGCUCCGCCCUACUCAAGGAGUACUAGACCCCUCUGUCUGCUGAGGUCAGCAUCCCAGAACACGGCUCCAGCUGACGAUUGCACUUGGCACCCAUAUCCUCCGUGCGACAACCUGGUGUCAGCAGUCUCG
This is a long non-coding RNA of Homo sapiens (human), 418 nucleotides long. The record is from Ensembl. Lineage: Eukaryota; Metazoa; Chordata; Mammalia; Primates; Hominidae.